This 541-nucleotide ribosomal RNA is filed under the name Trigonopterus sp. 1119 AR-2022a. Its description in RNAcentral is "partial large subunit ribosomal RNA". Lineage: Eukaryota; Metazoa; Arthropoda; Insecta; Coleoptera; Curculionidae. The record is from RNAcentral.
GUCUUAUUGAGUAUAAUUUUAAGUCUGACCUGCCCUAUGAUUAAUUAAAUGGCUGCAGUAAAUUAACUGUACAAAGGUAGCAUAAUCAUUUGUUUUUUAAUUGAAAGCUAGAAUGAAAGGUUUGAUGAAAAAAUUUCUGUCUCUAUGAAAAUUUGUUAGAAUUUUAUUUUUAAGUGAAAAAGCUUAAAUUUAUAUUGAAGACGAGAAGACCCUAUAGAGUUUGAUAUUUAAAAAAUAAUUUAUAUAAAAGGUAAAUAUAAAUAUAUAAUUAUUAAAAUAAAUAUUUUAUUGGGGUGAUUGAAAAAUUUGUUUAACUUUUUUUUAGAUAAGAACACUAAUUUGUGAAUAAACGAUCCUAAAUUUUAGAUUUAAAGAUAAAAUUACCUUAGGGAUAACAGCGUUAUUUUUUUUAGAGUUCUUAUCGAAAAAAAAGAUUGCGACCUCGAUGUUGGAUUAAAAUUUAUUGCUGGCGCAGAAGUUAGUUAAUUAGGUCUGUUCGACCUUUAAAAUUUUACAUGAUCUGAGUUUARACCGGUGUAAG